AGUGGGGAAUCUUAGACAAUGGGCGCAAGCCUGAUCUAGCCAUGCCGCGUGAGUGACGAAGGCCCUAGGGUCGUAAAGCUCUUUCGCCUGUGAUGAUAAUGACAGUAGCAGGUAAAGAAACCCCGGCUAACUCCGUGCCAGCAGCCGCGGUAAUACGGAGGGGGUUAGCGUUGUUCGGAAUUACUGGGCGUAAAGCGCACGUAGGCGGAUCAGAAAGUUGGGGGUGAAAUCCCGGGGCUCAACCCCGGAACUGCCUCCAAAACUUCUGGUCUGGAGUUCGAGAGAGGUGAGUGGAAUUCCGAGUGUAGAGGUGAAAUUCGUAGAUAUUCGGAGGAACACCAGUGGCGAAGGCGGCUCACUGGCUCGAUACUGACGCUGAGGUGCGAAAGUGUGGGGAGCAAACAGGAUUAGAUACCCUGGUAGUCCACACCGUAAACGAUGAAUGCCAGCCGUCGGCGCGCAUGCGUGUCGGUGACACACCUAACGGAUUAAGCAUUCCGCCUGGGGAGUACGGUCGCAAGAUUA
Molecule: ribosomal RNA, 525 nt
Filed under: uncultured bacterium
Lineage: Bacteria
Description: bacterial SSU rRNA
Rfam family: Bacterial small subunit ribosomal RNA
Source: RNAcentral